GACGAACGCUGGCGGCGUGCUUAACACAUGCAAGUCGAACGGAAAGGCCUGCUUUCCCUUGUGGAUUGCGGGUGCUCGAGUGGCGAACGGGUGAGUAACACGUGAGUGAUCUGCCCCCAACUUGGGUAUAAGCCUGGGAAACUGGGUCUAAUUCCCGAUAGGACUGCAGGGUGGUGCCUGUGGUGGAAAACGAUUUUCUAGUGGUUGGGGAUGAGCUCGCGGCCUAUCAGCUUGUUGGUGGGGUAAUGGCCUACCAAGGCGGCGACGGGUAGCCGGCCUGAGAGGGUGGACGGCCACAUUGGGACUGAGAUACGGCCCAGACUCCUACGGGAGGCAGCAGUGGGGAAUAGUGCACAAUGGGCGGAAGCCUGAUGCAGCGACGCCGCGUGGGGGAUGACGGCCUUCGGGUGGUAAACUCCUUUCGACCGCGAGGAAGCCACCUGGUUGGAAGGGUGGUGACGGUAGUGGUAGAAGAAGCACCGGCUAACUACGUG
RNAcentral lists this ribosomal RNA (494 nucleotides) under uncultured bacterium. Its description in RNAcentral is "partial 16S ribosomal RNA". It matches the Rfam family "Bacterial small subunit ribosomal RNA", at positions 28 to 507 of the family's 1533-position model. The record is from RNAcentral.